Molecule: unclassified non-coding RNA, 334 nt
Filed under: soil metagenome
Description: partial contains 5.8S ribosomal RNA, internal transcribed spacer 2, and large subunit ribosomal RNA
Rfam family: 5.8S ribosomal RNA (bases 1-120)
Source: RNAcentral
GAUGAAGAACGUAGCGAAAUGCGAUAAGUAGUGUGAAUUGCAGAAUUCAGUGAAUCAUCGAAUCUUUGAACGCACAUUGCGCCCGCUAGUAUUCUAGCGGGCAUGCCUGUUCGAGCGUCAUUUCAACCAUCAAGCCCCAGGCUUGUGUUGGAGCCCUGCGGCCGUCCGCAGCCUCCUAAAAUCAGUGGCGGGCUCGCUAUCACACCGAGUGCAGUAGUUUACUCUUCGCUCAGGACGUGUAGCGGGUUCCGGCCGUGAAACCCCCCAAUUUUCAAGGUUGACCUCGGAUCAGGUAGGAAUACCCGCUGAACUUAAGCAUAUCAAUAAGCGGAGA